This 433-nucleotide ribosomal RNA is filed under the name uncultured bacterium. RNAcentral describes it as "partial 16S ribosomal RNA". It matches the Rfam family "Bacterial small subunit ribosomal RNA", at positions 29 to 507 of the family's 1533-position model. The record is from RNAcentral.
AACGAACGCUGGCGGCAUGCCUAACACAUGCAAGUCGAACGAGACCUUCGGGUCUAGUGGCGCACGGGUGCGUAACGCGUGGGAACCUGCGCUUAGGGUCGGAAUAACUCCCCGAAAGGGGUGCUAAUACCGGAAAAUGUCUUCGGACCAAAGAUUUAUCGCCUUUGGAUGGGCCCGCGUUGGCUUAGCUAGUUGGUAGGGUAAAAGCCUACCAAGGCGACGAUGCAUAGCUGGUCUGAGAGGAUGACCAGCCACACUGGGACUGAGACACGGCCCAGACUCCUACGGGAGGCAGCAGUGGGUAAUAUUGUACAAUGGGCGAUAGCCUGAUCCCGCAAUGCCGCGUGAGUGAUGAAGGCCUUAGGGUUGUACAGCUCUUUUACCCGGGAUGAUAAUGACAGUACCGGGAGAAUAAGCUCCGGCUAACUCCGUG